GUGCUCGUUUUGGCAGCACAUAUACUAAAAUUGGAACGAUACAGAGAAGAUUAGCAUGGCUCCUGCGCAAGGAUGACACGCAAAUUCAUGAAGCGUUCCAUAUUUUU
Molecule: small nuclear RNA, 107 nt
Organism: Dromiciops gliroides (monito del monte)
Lineage: Eukaryota; Metazoa; Chordata; Mammalia; Microbiotheria; Microbiotheriidae
Source: RefSeq, a predicted model, not a curated record